Molecule: ribosomal RNA, 440 nt
Filed under: uncultured bacterium
Lineage: Bacteria
Description: partial 16S ribosomal RNA
Rfam family: Bacterial small subunit ribosomal RNA
Source: RNAcentral
CCUACGGGAGGCAGCAGUGGGGAAUAUUCGACAAUGGGGGAAACCCUGAUGCAGCGACGCCGCGUGAGUGAAGAAGGAAUUCGUUUUGUAAAGCUCUAUUAGCAGGGAAGAAAAAGGCGGUAAGUGAGUGAACAGCCCCGGACAAAUACGGGCCAGCAGCCGAGGUAAUACGUAGGGGGCAAGGCUUGUCCGGAUUUAAUGGGUGAAAAGGGGGCGGAGGCGGUAGUGCAAGUCUGGAGUGAAGGGCGCGGGCUCAACCUCCGGUGUGCUCUGGAAACUGUACGGCUGGAGUGCAGGAGAGGUAAGUGGAAGUCCUAGUGUAGCGGUGAAAUGCGUAGAUAUUAGGAGGAACACCAGUGGCGAAGGCGGCUUACUGGACUGUAACUGACGCUGAGGCUCGAAAGCGUGGGGAGCAAACAGGAUUAGAUACCCCUGUAGUC